This 373-nucleotide long non-coding RNA is filed under the name Homo sapiens (human). RNAcentral describes it as "HSALNT0176102". Lineage: Eukaryota; Metazoa; Chordata; Mammalia; Primates; Hominidae. The record is from RNAcentral.
AACAUCCACAUCACCCUUCACCUUGGGACCUUUCAGAUGCAAAUCAAAGUCAGGCAUGGAGAUCUUGGGGGCUUUGAUGUUCAUCUCAGGCAUCUUGAAUUUAGGGCCCUUUAGUUUCGCAUCUGGACCUUCGAUAUUCACAUCAGGAACAUCAAUGUCCACCUUGGGUCCUGAGACGUCAAGGUCAGCCUUGGGCAGGUUCACAUCCACAUCUGGGCCCUCUCCUUUGAAGCCAGGCAUGCUGAACUUGGGCAUUUUCACCUUGGGCAUCUUCAGGUGCCAGUCUGGACCCUGAACAUUAACAUCUGGGACAUCAAUGUCCACUUUGGGGCCUUUGAGGUCAACUUCAGGACCUUUCAGAUCUCCCUCUACC